RNAcentral lists this ribosomal RNA (513 nucleotides) under uncultured bacterium. Its description in RNAcentral is "bacterial SSU rRNA". It matches the Rfam family "Bacterial small subunit ribosomal RNA", at positions 32 to 518 of the family's 1533-position model. The record is from RNAcentral.
AACGCUGGCGGCGUGCCUAAUACAUGCAAGUCGAACGGUCUUUCUAUGGAAGCUGCUUCCACUGAGAAGAUAGUGGCGAACGGGUGAGUAACACGUGGGUAACCUGCCCAUAAGAGGGGGAUAACAUCCGGAAACGGGUGCUAAUACCGCAUAGUUUUCUUGAUCGCAUGAUCGGGAAAGGAAAGACGGCCUUUGUGCUGUCGCUUAUGGAUGGACCCGCGGCGUAUUAGUUAGUUGGUGAGGUAACGGCUCACCAAGACGAUGAUACGUAGCCGACCUGAGAGGGUGAUCGGCCACAUUGGGACUGAGACACGGCCCAAACUCCUACGGGAGGCAGCAGUAGGGAAUCUUCCGCAAUGGACGAAAGUCUGACGGAGCAACGCCGCGUGAGUGAAGAAGGUUUUCGGGAAUCGUAAAACUCUGUUGUCAGAGAAGAACAAGUUGGAGAGUAACUGCUCCAGCCUUGACGGUAUCUGACCAGAAAGCCACGGCUAACUACGUGCCAGCAGCUGC